This is a long non-coding RNA of Carassius auratus (goldfish), 5037 nucleotides long. RefSeq lists it as uncharacterized. The record is from RefSeq and is a predicted model, not a curated record. NCBI's taxonomy places the organism in Eukaryota, Metazoa, Chordata, Actinopteri, Cypriniformes, Cyprinidae. The transcript is spliced from 3 exons.
AUAGUUUUUCUUUAUAGAAUCACUGAAACAACAAUUUAAGCCUGAACCUGAAUCAUUCAAUUCUUUGUGAAUCAUUAUUCCAAAUACUGUCAUUUUAUGUCAUUUCUGCAAGGUUUUCAAGAGCAUAUUUGUUUUUACAGAAUUAAUGUGAUUCAGUGCAGUUGAAUAAUUCAGGCAGGUUGUGUGUGAUAGUUGACAGUUACACUCAUGACAUCACGGCACAUUCACCCUGGUCUCAAGGGCACCACGUACACCUCACUCCUGCCUUCCACAUGAACACGUACUUGAGUCCCGCCACCAGCAUCAUCCCUAUCCCACCGGAGUAUGGUGGAAUUCUCACCUCGUGUUUACGUUGCUUACCACCUACAAGCUCAGCCCCUUUUUGCCGUCAACAGACCUAUUGAACAUCCUUGCGCGUCUCCCCUCCCCUACUUCCCUGUGACACAUUGUGAUUCACCGACUCCGAACUCUCUCCCCCCUUUCACCAACUUUAGAGUACAGAGAGUGCGCUGGACUGUGAAUAGUGGUAGAAGACAGCUCCCCGGUGAGUCGUCUGUUAUCGUCUCUUUGUCCUGGAAUAGUCAGACACGAUGAGUCACUCCCUGACAUUGCACACCCCUCAUUGAAUUUCCUCACCCUGCACUUAGUGGCCAACGUUCUCACUGAAACUGCUGGCUGUUCAUGGCUCGGUGUUUGGCCCACGAUGAGCCGACGCCGGUAUGAUCCAGGAGAAUAGAGACGUGUGGCAAGCAGCUCUUUUCAAUCCAGAAAUGGACCCAGUUGGUUGCUGGUGAAUUAUUUAUGUUAGCCAAGCAGAACAUGGUGACCUAGAAACUGGUGUAAGAGGGGUAAUUAAAAGACUUGUUAAAAGUGUCUUGCAUGAGGGAUGGGGAGGUUGGAGGAUAAAAAUGUGAGAGACGAGCACCAAUAUGAUGUUUUCCUAUUUUAUUUUAGCUUCGGACAGAACCUCACUGUGCAGUUUAAUAUUUCAUAUCACCUAAUUUUCCCUUCUGCAGCCUCCUCCGUGUCAUUUCUCCAACUUGUUUUCCUACAAUGUAAGCUCACACUCAGAUGUGGCAGGAUAGCAGUGGAGUCAGUUUCCUCGCCAUGAAAAAUGCUCAAGCUGCCUCCUGCUAUCGGAGGAUCUGUCAGAGGAACACAAUGUGAAGGCUGAGCUCUUUGGCCCAGCAAGGAGGCUGAAAGUGGUCAAAUUGUCAUCAGGUUUAAGGGCGAAAAACAAUUUGUAAAAAGGCGAGUGCUGUUUAAUACGUAAAGGACCUUUUGCUUUAUAUGGUAAUGAAUUUCAAAUGUCUUCCUCACUUCAGGAGCAAGAGGCUGCGGUGAGGGCCUUACAGCUGUUUUGUGGAGAUAAUUGAUUUUGGAAUAGACCGACGAGAGCGCGGGCAGGCAGGGUUGACGGUGCUCUACAGCGGGGUUCGAGCCAAUUUCCGCAGGCCUCGUCCCUUUAAUUACAGCGGCGCUGGAGCGCGGGACACAGCAGCGCUCUUCCCUGGGCAAAUUAAACCCCCUCACCAGCCUUGCGUCUUCCCUCCCCCCGCCAUGCAGAGGCCUGAUGAAUAUUUCAUGGCUCUGCCUCUCUCUUCGAGCCUAAGGUUAUGGCUGCCGGCAGAGCUGACAGUGCUGCUUCCUCUGUCCUUCCAGAGCAGCGAGGAAAGUGUCACAGGUAAAACAGAAGAAACAGGGAAAUGACAGAGCACCCGAAGUGUUUUGAAUGCCUUGACCAUCACAAAUCAGUCUUGGAAAAGCAAAAGACCAAUCCUGGAUACUGAAAUAAUCCAACAUACUUCAGAAUAUACUAAUAGUGCUUCUACAAUUACAUUUUGAUUCAUCUUCCUUCUACAUUCAUAUGAAAAAAUGUUGUUUUCUCUGUCAGAGGUGAUUAAGAUUGCAGCACAGUUCGCUGAGGCUAGAUAAGAACUUAUGUUCUUUAACAAUGUCUCUACAAGCAUCUUACAGGCUGAUGGAUCUGGUUUGGGACUCACUAUGUUUCCUUAUUUUUUUUUUACUUUUCUCACAGUGACAGACCUGUUGUGUAAAGAUUGUCCAUUGUAAACAUAAUGCUGUGUUCUUUUGGCUUGUUACAACCUGUUUGAAGUUCAAGAACAGGUAACAAAAAAAAAAAGGUAACAUUUGGAAAGCUUUAUUUAAUUUCUGAUUUAUUGUACUUUCUGAAUACUGAUUGGAAAAGAUUAGAUUAAUCAUGAUUAUUUUAAUAGUUCUUUAGAUUAAGAAAUUAAAAUAUGCAUAGCUUUGUUUAUUUUUAAGUCCGUCUAAAUAUACUUAAAAAUUGAUUGGGUAGAACAACUGUUAGUGGGAGUUUAAUAUUGGUAAAACACCUCCAUUCAUAAAUUAAAGGUUAGGAGUUUUUUUCUUUUUUCUUAAAAAGGCUGCAUUUAUUAAAAAGUAAAAAAUAAUAAAUAAGUAAAUAAAAUACAGACAACGGGUAUACUGUUAAAUAUUAUUUAAACUUAAAAUAUUAUAUUUUUAUAUAUUUAAAUAUGUUAUUUAUUCCUAAGAUGGCAAAGUUGAGUUUUCACCCGCCCUUACUCCAGUCUUCAGUUUCACAUAAACCUUUAUAAAUCAUUAUAAUAUGCUGAUUUGGUGCUUUAAAAAAAAAUCAUAUUAUUAUCAAUGUUGAAAAAAGCUGCUUAAUAUUUUUGUGAAAACCAUACAUUUAUUUCAGAAUUCUUUGAUGAAUAGAAAGUAAAAAAUAAUUGAUAUAUAUAUGUAAAAGUAUUAAUUUCCUCAAAUAAGAAAGAUUGUCAUACUUACCCUAAACUUUUAAACAAUAGUGUAUACUGUUAACAUCCGUUACAAUAAAAUUUAUAAUUUUUGGGCUUCAGUGCAAAAGACAAAUCCAGUUUGAAAACAAAAUUUGGAAGGCCCCUGAUCUAAACUGAAAAAGCUACUGGGUUCCUAUUGGCCAUUGUUUUCUUAGCAUUAUUAUCAUUAAUAUAAUGAACAAUUUCUUCUUUCAUGACAAUAAGUCAGCACUUGUGUGACUCUCAUACAGCUUGACCUUUGGUGGCUUCGGCGCUGCAUUUUGACAAAGGACGGAGUAUGAAAGAGUAAGAAGAUCAGAGAAAAAUUUCACAGACAGGUCUCAGUAUAAAUAAGUAAAAAGCCAUAAUGAUUAUGUUAGCAUUCCAUAUUCCAUAUUGAUCUACACAGCAUGCCUGGAUCUGAAGAUGAGGGGCUAAACCCACAAUCUCCACCCCAGGCUGUGUAUAUCGCAGACCCCUUUUGUCCUGUCUCUGCAGGCUUUAGUCUCGCUUCUGCCUGUCCUCAGAGACCCCACAAGGAGGAAUCAGAAGGAUUACCGUAUACCCUGUUAAUCAGACGAGACUCCAUGAGGAGGUCCUCAAAUGGACUAUAAGACUGGUCUUUACAUUUGAGGUCCUGUCUUGCAGCAUGAUGCGUCAUGUUCACUAAAGACAUAAUUUUAAGUCUGCUUUUGAGGUAGAAUGGGGAUCAUUAUUUCAUGAGACUCGGGAGGGGCCUGAGCGACAGGGGCUGUGGUAUUGGGGUGUGUUCGUCCUCAGCUCUCCAAAAUCAGCUUGUCUGAAGAGUGCAUUUCCAUGUAGAUCUAGGCCGCGGUUUCCCUCAGCACUUCACCGGCCUGCCACACCUAAGCCCAUCGUCCUCUCGCCGUCUUGAGGCUUCUCCAGGAAUACACAUUGAGCUGUCUGUCAGGCGCUUCGAUGCAUUUUUUAACAGAGUCUGAAUCAAAAAGCCAUGAGUUGUAUCUCUCCUUUGACAACCUAAAUUGCAACUGAAUUCUGACCUUUCGUGAUUUAUCAGUCCGAAGGGGACGUUAAUCAGCUUGCAUAAGAUUAAUUACAAGCGAUUAUAGAUUGAACGAGUGGUAAAGCACCACUUGUCUUAAACACUAUAAAAGAAGCAAAUGCACAAACUGUUAGUGGAAGGAGGGGGCUGAGCUUUCAAAGAAAUCAUGCAGGGGGACUGCCUGUCGAGGUGGAAUUGAAUGUUUUUGCCGUUUAGCAACUGUUUAGCAUUUAAUUUCGCAUGUGACGCUUAAUGAGCCCAGCCCCGGCUCUGAUCUCUCGGUGUUAGCUGAAUUGAGAAUUAAUUGCGCUCGUUCACUCUCUCCACCAUCCUCUCUGCUCGUCCUGACACUGUUCUAGUCUCCGUUUACGUGGAAGCUCACAGACAGCAAAAUACACUUUUCAGCUUUUUUUUGUUUAAGCCUACACGCUGACCUCUUGUGGAAUUUCCCUCGUUGUGAAAAAGGAGACCUGUGUGUUCUGUCAAUCUUGAGCUCUGUGUAUUAGCAAGCGUGCUGGUUUUCCACCUGUGGAGUGGUUUAUGAGUUUAUCUCGAUAUGGAUCCAGCACAUCAGGCAAAUCAUUGACUUAAAGUCACUAUAAUAAAGCAUGGACAUAUUCACUUAAAUAUAUUUAAAAGAGAGACAGAUGCAGUGAAUGUCAUUAGCUUUGCUUUGUGAAACAGCUGGAAGCUCUUUGAAAUAUUGUCCAUUACUAAAGUCAUCAUGUAAACAUCUCAUCUUUAAUCAUGUUGUGAAUGGAUUUAGUGCUUUGUGCAAUAUGACAUCUGCUGCCAACGUAAAUUGGCAUUAACACCCUUUAAAUCUCUCCCAGCUGCUGUGGAUGUUUCCCCCAGAGGAAAGCGUUGUCUGCAGAUGUUUCUAGAAGGUCUGAUUGACUCCACACGACGUCAGAGCUGGCAGCUCGGUGAAGGUGAAGGGCGACUUGUUGCAUGAGGAACUGUGGGUACCCGUAUGAUUCACAAGGAACAAUUACGCACCAACGAAACUACUCUUAUGAAGAGCAAGUUCAUCUGGCAAAUUUAGGUUUCGUGUUUACUCUGUAAUUCUGUAACAGGUUUGUAAAUGUUGUUAAGCCAUGCCACCCUGAUAAGCUGCCUUCAGCUUUACCGGGGAUUAUUAAGACUUCUCCAGCGACGAAAAUCCAAAAGUAAUCGCAGAUUAAUUUUGUAUCCUGUUAUCUGUAACUUUAAUAAAUGGUUUUGACCGUC